UAACAAGGAUUCCCCUAGUAACUGCGAGUGAACCGGGAAAAGCUCAAAUUUUGAAUCUGGCGGUCUUUAUGGCCGUCCGAGUUGUAAUCUAGAGAAGCGUCUUCCGCGCUGGACCGUGUAUAAGUUUCCUGGAAUGGAACGUCGUAGAGGGUGAGAAUCCCGUCUUUGACACGGACUGCCAGGGCUAUGUGAUGCGCUCUCGACGAGUCGAGUUGUUUGGGAAUGCAGCUCAAAUAGGGUGGUAAAUUCCAUCUAAAGCUAAAUAUAGGCGAGAGACCGAUAGCGAACAAGUACCGUGAGGGAAAGAUGAAAAGAACUUUGGAAAGAGAGUUAAACAGUACGUGAAAUUGCUGAAAGGGAAACGCUUGAUGUCAGUCGCGUUCGUCGGGGAUCAGCCUUGCUCUUUUGCUCGGUGUACUUCCUGGCGAACGGGUCAGCAUCAGUUUUGUUCGUCGGAAAAUGGCUCGAGAAAUGUGGCACUCUUCGGGGUGUGUUAUAGACUCGGGUCGAAUACGACGUUCGGGACUGAGGAACUCAGCACGACCUUCGGGUUCGGGGCUUAGGCCCACGUUAACGUGCUUAGGAUGCUGGCAUAAUGGCCUUAAGCGACCCGUCUUGAAACACGGACCAAGGAGUCUAACUCGCAUGCGAGUGUUUGGGCGAUUAAAACCCGAGCGCGUAAUGAAAGUGAAAGUCGAGACCCCUGUCGUGGGGGGCAUCGACGCCCGGACCAGAGCUUCUGCGACGGAUCUGCGGUAGAGCAUGCGUGUUGGGACCCGAAAGAUGGUGAACUAUGCCUGAAUAGGGUGAAGCCAGAGGAAACUCUGGUGGA
Molecule: ribosomal RNA, 832 nt
Filed under: Suillus grevillei
Lineage: Eukaryota; Fungi; Basidiomycota; Agaricomycetes; Boletales; Suillaceae
Description: eukaryotic LSU rRNA
Rfam family: Eukaryotic large subunit ribosomal RNA
Source: RNAcentral